Molecule: ribosomal RNA, 261 nt
Filed under: uncultured prokaryote
Description: partial 16S ribosomal RNA
Rfam family: Bacterial small subunit ribosomal RNA
Source: RNAcentral
UACGUAGGUGGCAAGCGUUGUCUGGAUUUACUGGGCGUAAAGGGAGCGUAGGCGGACUUUUAAGUGAGAUGUGAAAUACCCGGGCUCAACUUGGGUGCUGCAUUUCAAACUGGAAGUCUAGAGUGCAGGAGAGGAGAAUGGAAUUCCUAGUGUAGCGGUGAAAUGCGUAGAGAUUAGGAAGAACACCAGUGGCGAAGGCGAUUCUCUGGACUGUAACUGACGCUGAGGCUCGAAAGCGUGGGGAGCAAACAGGAUUAGAUA